RNAcentral lists this small nuclear RNA (282 nucleotides) under Nannospalax galili (Upper Galilee mountains blind mole rat). RNAcentral describes it as "7SK RNA (ENSNGAG00000003183.1)". It matches the Rfam family "7SK RNA". Rfam says of the family: 7SK was discovered as an abundant small nuclear RNA in the mid-70s but a possible function has only recently been suggested. The record is from Rfam by way of RNAcentral. Lineage: Eukaryota; Metazoa; Chordata; Mammalia; Rodentia; Spalacidae.
GAGAGGCAAUUUGGCUGCGCCAUCUGUCACCCCAUUGAUCACAAGUUGAUUAUGCUGAUGUAGCUGACUAGGCAGAGGUUCCCUUCCUCCCAGAAGCCACAUGCUCAAAAGGAUGACCUUCCUCCUUCCCUGACAUCCAGUCAAGGGAAUAUGGUAUCAGCAUUCCCCUGCCAGAACCUCUAAACAGGCUCUCAAGAAGAAAGUUUGAGUAACAGCCAAUACUUUGAAACAGCCAGGCCUCAUCUCCUCAGGCCUCACUGGGUCCUACCAAUGGCUUUCAGG